Non-coding RNA from Cyanistes caeruleus (blue tit), 4869 nucleotides. The record is from RefSeq and is a predicted model, not a curated record. NCBI's taxonomy places the organism in Eukaryota, Metazoa, Chordata, Aves, Passeriformes, Paridae.
AGCAGGAAAGAAGAUACUGUCAGUUCACAACUUCCUGGAGGUGAUGGCUGCUGUGCUAGAAAUGCUGACAACUACAAGAGUGUUAUAUUGUGUUUCCAUCAGUACAAAUACUGAUUAGACAAGCUGUGAUUCUGACUGUGCAUAAAAUGUUCAUUUCUACGCACCCAGCAAGCCUAUACAGAGUUGAUACUCACUUGGAGAGCAUCUGAGGAAUCUGCAGCUGUGACUGUAAUUGCACACUCAAACCUUAUGGUAAAUUAUCAGAAUUCUGCAGCAUUGCUCUAAGUUGGUGAGGAAUUGAUGAGGCUGGCUGAGAAAAACAGGAGUUGAAACCCUUGCUUAUCUUUGCAGCUGGCUUCAGCAAAGCCUAAUGAUUGAAGGAUCCUCCACAGAAAGAACAGGGAUCUGUCACAGGCAUCACAAUGGGGCUACAUUGAAGCACAGAGAGAGGUGUGACCACUCUAAGAAGGUCUGUACUAUUUUCUGCAUAGACUCAUAAACCAGUUGUAACUGCAAAUACUUGUACUGCAUGGUGCACUUGUGUUUAGACAGGAGGUUGACAUCAGGUUAACACAAUUUGAGAACAGGAGAAAACUGUACACAAGUAAAUGGAGAAGUUGAUCCAGGUGUGGAGGAAUGCCAGAUGGAGAGUAAUAGGCAGCAGAACUGCUCAUCGGAAACAUACAUGGAUUCAGCAUGACCCUGUUUCCUGCAGGACUCUGAUGAGUACAGCACUGAAACAGGUGAGAUGACUCAGAGACAGCUUCUUGGAUAUAUUUGUCAGUGCUACUGUGGAAAGCCAGAAGCCAGCAGGAAGGUUAGAACGGUUUCUUUGUUGGUGUUCAGAUGUAACAGAGGUCAUUCCUUCUCCUCUUGAUAUAAUCUGGCAGUGGGUAUAAAGCCAUUUCCUGAAACUAUGUGUGCCCUAGUGACUCAUUAGUUUUACACUGGUUUCCUUUAAAAAAAGUGAGUUCUAAGGCAAAAGAUUAAACACUUCUAAGGCAAUUGUAGGUUCAUUUUGACUCAUUGGUCUGUUUUUAAAUGUCUUCCAAGCCUUUUCUUUGUUAGUCGUGUUAGUUUAAGAGGUGUACAUUGAUGUUAGAACCUGGGCAUCAUAAUUAUCACUGCCUUCUAGAACUAGGUUUGGGGUUUUGUUUUGGUUUUGUUUCUUUGAGUUUUUUCCAGUCAUGAACAUUCAUAAAUUUCCAUGUAUUUUUUUUUUUUCACCAGAGUCACGGUUUAACCACAUUACUAUUCUCAUACUUAAUUCAAAACACAGCACUUAUUGGCUACUAAGAAGAAAAUUAGUAGCUGAAAAUUAACCCAGCUGAAACGAAGACACAUGAAGGAAAAUACCACAUAAUUCUAGAAAAGCUCCUCUUUGGAAGGAGAUAGGCAAGUUACAGUUGUAAUAUGGAGCAGAAGCUGGUGAUUUGCCCCCUCAAAAAAUAUUUCUAGAAAAAGUGUCUUGGAUUCAGGUACACAUAUAUAUAGCAUCACUAUAUUUCUAAGUUCUUGAACAGAUCUUGCCUUCUAUGGACUUAAACUUUUUCUUGCCAACAAUAUGGCAGUCUCAAAAUUAAAAAUAUCUUGUCAUCUGUUUGUUUAAGAUCAAAGGCAAAUUUUAAAUGAACUGGUAGGAUACUCUAGUAUUAACAUGAUGGUGUAGGAAUGGCAUUCCCCAAUUUAGUGCUCCCACUUGAAACUCAAAACCACACCAUGUUGGUCCACUCCCCCUUCCCUCUCUGCCUCCAUGCUGCAGCGGAUUGGAGCGAAGAACUGGAGGCACAAAAGGCAAAGCUCACUGGCUGAAAUAAGCAAAUGAACAGCAACAAAAACAAUAUUAAUAAUAAAAGCAUAUAAAAGAGAGAGUGCAGAGCUUGACCUGACCACAGUCACACCAUGCUGACCAUUCAUUCUACUCAGAAUCAGCUUUACCUCACUGCUCCAUCCAUCACGCUUGCUCAACCAGCAGGAACCUGUUCUCCCCUGGAAGCAAGAGAGUUUCUUCCCCCUCCCUGCCCUCAGCAAUGUCUGAGGUGGUGUGGAAUAACUGCCAGGUCCUGGCCACACCACCUCCCCUUUACUGCAAAAUUUAACCCUGUCCUAGUUGCAACCAGGACAGGGUGAAAUUGGUCUUAGCAUUCCACAUUCUCUCUUCCCCGCCUCUUGAUGCUGGAUAUUUAUAAGAGAGAGCUGUUCAUUUUUAAGGAUCUUAUGUUGGGUUUAAAGUUAAUCAGUUCCCACUUGCUAGCAUGCUUAUACUGGAAACUGCCAAGGAAAACCCAUUUGCUUCAGUUAAAAGACUAGAUUUUUUUUCUCCAUGCUUUUCAUUGUAAAAACUUUGAUUUAAAGAGACCUUGAAUUAUUUUGUAAAAGGAAAAAUUGCAUCAAUGUCCAGUACUAUUCUGCUUCAUACAUGCAUCCCUUACAGAAUGCAUGACUUUGAAUGAGAGUUUUCCUCCAUUAGAAAUUAAGUACUGUGAUCAUUUGUCUGUGGCAGAAAUAAUUUUUUACACAUUUGUUGUAGCAUUCCUCAGCUAUGAUGUUCAUACCAACACUAUAUAUUUAGGCAUGCCAUGAUAAAAGAGAACCACCCAUGAAAUAUUACCUAUGUGAGAGACCCACUGAGGGUCCAAUUAGGAACAUACAAGUCUGUUCAUGGAUGAAUAUAUAUAUAUAUAGUGACGUAAUGGUCAUAAAAAUAGCUAAGCCUUCCUUGGUUUGGAUUCUUCAAACAUGCACGUUUUCAUAUGUAUAUUAACCCAAGUUUAUUUCAUGCAAGUAAGGUGAGCACACUAGUACAUAGGCACAGUAGUUAAUUGACUGACCAGGCCUGGUAGCUUACAAAGUAAGUCUCUUCAGAAGUCACUCAUGAGAGCCUUAUUCUAAGUAUUUAAUACUACUUUGUAAUACUACUGUGCAGGCAUGCAGCUGUGAAAGGAAUUUGAAUAUAUAAUUUUCUGCUUACAGAUGCAAUAAUGUAAUGCAGGAGAGUAUGCAGUGUGCAAGGCUGCAUUGGCUUUCUUGCCUCUCAGGAGAGUAAGUUAGAGGAACACGUUGUUAGAACUGAACUGUUUGGAACAAUGGGAUUUCACAACAGAGAUGACAUUGCAAAGGCAUCCUGAAUUGGUAAAUACAUAUCUUGACUUAUUUAACUACACAUUUCUACUUUAAUUACAAAAUACACAGAAGUAGAAUUGCAGGGACAUUGGCAAAUAGUCCUUCUUACUCUUCUGCAUUCUAUUCUCAGCUGUAAUUCAGCCUUGCUGUAGAAGAAAAAUCAUUUCACACCUCAUCAUUCAGUGACGUAUCUUCCAUGCAGUCAUUCUCUUAGCCACUACCACUCGGUGUUUAUAUGAGCUAAGGGGAAGGCUAAGCAUUUUCUUGUAAGGACUCUGCCAGAGUUUGGGUUUGGGAGACACAGAAAUAAUUUCAUGGGUGCAGUGUUGCACAGUACUCUUUGUUCUUAACUCUUCUGACUUUGUCUGAUGGACUACUUCCCUUAUGGCUCUCACUUCCUUCUCUCAUCAACAUUGUACUUCCUGUCUCCAAUGGUCCUUCACAACCUCUCAUUCUCUUUGCUUUUCCUGCAACCAAGCCCUUCCGUUUUUUCCCCACCAUAUAAAGCAGAUAGACGUAUACAUAUAAAGGCACACCCUGAAAUUGAAAAACGAAGACAGAAAUCAUGGAACCAAAAAUAUCAGCUACUGUUUUCCUCUAUUUUUGUCUUUUUUGUCCUUCAUGUCUGUCUUACUCUUUAGAUUUUAAGCAUUCCUUAAGCUCCAUAGUGAAAGGUAGUGCACUGUAAAACCUUAGAUAUUUUCAACAAUUCCAACAACAGAACAUUUAAGUGCAACCAUUGCAUAAAAGAACUUGAAAAUUAUUAAACUUUAUGACCUCCUUCCCUCCCACACAAACACCUUUCCUGGGUUUUUUUAACUAUUAAAAAUAAAAUAUGUGGGCAGCUGAAAAAUUCAUGUCCAUGACAUCUACUAGGCAGAAAAUAAAUUAUGGAAAAUUAGCAAUUUUCUUCAAUUGCAGAAUUAUUAAAUCCUACCUGUAUUUUUUUCUGAAGGGUUUUACAAUAAAUCCAACAUUUGUUUUAAUACAUCUUUAUAAGAUGCUGUAAUAGGAUAUUUUACCCUUCAAAUUUAAUUUUAAUUAAUAUAAUUCUAGUAUUAUUUCCAUGUCUAACCUUACUGUAGAUGCAUGCAAGUCACAUUGCAUCUUGAGACAGAAAUUGAGAAUAAAAAUAUCCCUACAGUGGUCUCUGGCCACAAAACCUUUCCUUUCCAAAACAUACAAUGAAAUUAUGAGUUAAUGUAAACGAGGAUGACUGUUGCUUUUCACAUGAAUGAAAGGCAGUUACUUUAGUUAUAUAUCCCAAAGAAAUGACCUAUUUAUUUUGUAGCUGAACAGUAAAACCAGUUUUUAACUCUUAAAGUAGAGCAACCCAGCCUAGGAUGCUCAGAAACUAGGGCAUCAUUGCUAAUUGUCUUAGUGCACAGUAUGGCAGCUUUAGUUAAAAUCCCCAGUAGCUGGCUGUUUGUGGAGAGGGUCCACAGCAGACUGAGGGUCAGAUGAAAGAGUUAACAGAAAGAAGAAGCCAGCAGGAUUCUUGUGUGUCCAUGGGAAGAAGAAAAAGAAGAUAAAGGUAGAGGAAAACAAGGAACAUCUGUGCUGAGAAAAACACCAUGGAAAAAUGAGAUCUGUCUGUAUUUUGGAUUUUUGGGGAUACUUUCUCAAAACAAUGCUUCCAUCAACGGACUUGGGGGUUAUGUGGUGAUGGCAAAUUAAAUGGGGUGCACUAUAAGGCCAGAAGGGUAUAAAAACACUGUGUACAGGCACAAUAAAAUCUUGGAUGAA